This 208-nucleotide ribosomal RNA is filed under the name Escherichia coli. RNAcentral's name for it is "partial 23S ribosomal RNA". It matches the Rfam family "Bacterial large subunit ribosomal RNA", at positions 296 to 512 of the family's 2925-position model. Lineage: Bacteria; Pseudomonadati; Pseudomonadota; Gammaproteobacteria; Enterobacterales; Enterobacteriaceae. The record is from RNAcentral.
AGCCCAGAGCCUGAAUCAGUGUGUGUGUUAGUGGAAGCGUCUGGAAAGGCGCGCGAUACAGGGUGACAGCCCCGUACACAAAAAUGCACAUAUUGUGAGCUCGAUGAGUAGGGCGGGACACGUGGUAUCCUGUCUGAAUAUGGGGGGACCAUCCUCCAAGGCUAAAUACUCCUGACUGACCGAUAGUGAACCAGUACCGUGAGGGAAA